This 100-nucleotide transfer-messenger RNA is filed under the name Candidatus Pelagibacteraceae bacterium. RNAcentral's name for it is "partial transfer-messenger RNA". It matches the Rfam family "Alphaproteobacteria transfer-messenger RNA", at positions 219 to 355 of the family's 355-position model. Rfam says of the family: Bacterial tmRNA, also known as 10Sa RNA or SsrA, is named for its dual tRNA and mRNA-like properties. Its role is to liberate the mRNA from a stalled ribosome. The record is from RNAcentral. Lineage: Bacteria; Pseudomonadati; Pseudomonadota; Alphaproteobacteria; Candidatus Pelagibacterales; Candidatus Pelagibacteraceae.
CAAUUUAUAAAUGCUAACGAAAGUUAUGCACUUGCAGCUUAAUUAACUUAGUUAAUUAAGUUACGGGGUUUGGGGCACCUGGCAACAGAACGCCCCUUCU